This 1236-nucleotide long non-coding RNA is filed under the name Cyanistes caeruleus (blue tit). RNAcentral's name for it is "lncRNA (ENSCCEG00000024432.1)". The record is from RNAcentral. Lineage: Eukaryota; Metazoa; Chordata; Aves; Passeriformes; Paridae.
UGUAAUGCACGACAAUUUGGACGGGGUUAUUCUGACAGUGUUAGAUGACUCAAAUGGGGCUAAAAGUAUCUGAGAAAUUUGUGUGAAAUCCUUUUGAAGUUUUUGGAGAGGAACAAGUACUCCUAGGUCAUGAAUAAUUUUAAAUGUUUAUCUUAGGGAGAUGUGAGUUAUUAUAGCUGAGAAAUGCCUUUUUCUGUAUAUAAGGUAUAUAUUGCUCUUGGACAUUUAGGCUGACAAUGCUGUAAAUAUAUAAUUUGAAUGGAUUGUUGAUCUUCCUCUGUGUACUGGGGGCCCAAACUCAGAGCAUUGUUAUUUCAGAUUUGAGUGCCAAGGGGAAUAAUCCCAUUCCUGCACUUGCUGGCUGUGAUUUUGAUAAUUCACCUUAUAGAGCUGACCCAUCCCAGGUACAGGACUCUGCACUUCUUGCUAAACCUGAUGAGGUUUCUGUCAGCCCACUCCUCCAGUUUGCCAUCAUGGAGGUGACCGAUGUUAAACACUUGAAGCAUUAGACACAGGAUCCAUCCCAAAACUGACUGACUGAAAAUGAACAUCACUUACACACUAACUGUCUGCAGUAGGGUUUUGAAUCACUGAUCACUGCUCUUUAGGCCAAAAGUGUUUUCCCAAAGGGGCAAAAUUCUUAAAAAACCAAGGAAUUGGUAUCACUGGCUUCCAUGAGUCUGGUAAUUCAAUGAAGGUUUCACUUUUUGUGUCCCAACCACAUGCCUAUUGGGGAACAUGGAUGAAUUUGUUCUCUUUGCACAAUUUAAAAGCUCAGCUUUGAAGUAUUUCUCUUGAAAGAGAAUAGUUACUUCUUUGUAGCUAUUGUUUUCAAAUAGUUCCUUUUUAAAUUCCUGCUUUUGAUUUGAGUUGGCUACUCCAGUAAGGAGACACUUUCAUGUCUUAAUUCCAGUUUGACUGUAUUGGAGCUCUGCUAGUUUAUGACAGCUGCUGCUCUUGUGAAGUGAUCCUGGAUUCUGGAUUUCAGGGCUAUGUCAGUGAUGCUCAAGACAGUGGGAAUUAUUUACACCCCUGACCAUUUUUAUGUCAAGCUCAGGGGAUGGCUGUACAAAAAUCUGCUGCAAAGUAGACAGGAUCAGAGCCUUCUCUUCAAGUCCCUUAGUAGUGUGCUCUGACCUUGCAUAAAUGCAAUGUACGUUUACCCCUGAGAAAACUGAGCUAAUCUGCUUUGUGUUUGGCAUCCCACAGAAAUAAACAUGGUAAGAAUAAAGAACA